RNAcentral lists this ribosomal RNA (360 nucleotides) under uncultured bacterium. Its description in RNAcentral is "bacterial SSU rRNA". It matches the Rfam family "Bacterial small subunit ribosomal RNA", at positions 29 to 416 of the family's 1533-position model. The record is from RNAcentral.
AACGAACGCUGGCGGCAUGCCUAACACAUGCAAGUCGAACGAGACCUUCGGGUCUAGUGGCGCACGGGUGCGUAACGCGUGGGAAUCUGCCCUUAGGUACGGAAUAACUCAGGGAAACUUGAGCUAAUACCGUAUAAUGACUUCGGUCCAAAGAUUUAUCGCCUAAGGAUGAGCCCGCGUCGGAUUAGCUAGUUGGUGAGGUAAAAGCUCACCAAGGCGACGAUCCGUAGCNGGUCUGAGAGGAUGAUCAGCCACACUGGGACUGAGACACGGCCCAGACUCCUACGGGAGGCAGCAGUGGGGAAUAUUGGACAAUGGGCGAAAGCCUGAUCCAGCAAUGCCGCGUGAGUGAUGAAGGCC